GAUGAACGCUGGCGGCGUGCCUAAUACAUGCAAGUCGAGCGAACAGAUGAGGAGCUUGCUCCUCUGACGUUAGCGGCGGACGGGUGAGUAACACGUGGAUAACCUACCUAUAAGACUGGGAUAACUUCGGGAAACCGGAGCUAAUACCGGAUAAUAUAUUGAACCGCAUGGUUCAAUAGUGAAAGACGGUUUUGCUGUCACUUAUAGAUGGAUCCGCGCCGCAUUAGCUAGUUGGUAAGGUAACGGCUUACCAAGGCAACGAUGCGUAGCCGACCUGAGAGGGUGAUCGGCCACACUGGAACUGAGACACGGUCCAGACUCCUACGGGAGGCAGCAGUAGGGAAUCUUCCGCAAUGGGCGAAAGCCUGACGGAGCAACGCCGCGUGAGUGAUGAAGGUCCUCGGAUCGUAAAACUCUGUUAUUAGGGAAGAACAAAUGUGUAAGUAACUAUGCACGUCUUGACGGUACCUAAUCAGAAAGCCACGGCUAACUACGU
This 496-nucleotide ribosomal RNA is filed under the name uncultured bacterium. RNAcentral's name for it is "partial 16S ribosomal RNA". It matches the Rfam family "Bacterial small subunit ribosomal RNA", at positions 28 to 506 of the family's 1533-position model. The record is from RNAcentral.